Molecule: ribosomal RNA, 649 nt
Filed under: uncultured bacterium
Lineage: Bacteria
Description: bacterial SSU rRNA
Rfam family: Bacterial small subunit ribosomal RNA
Source: RNAcentral
AGAGUUUGAUCCUGGCUCAGAACGAACGCUGGCGGCGUGGCUAAGGCAUGCAAGUCGAACGAGGUGUGUGGAAGGUAACGGAAGCACAUUUAGUGGCGAACGGGUGAGGAAUAGAUAGGUAACGUACCCUGGACACAGGAAUAGCGGCGGAACUUCGGUUCCUUUGCGAAAGUGCCGGUAAUACCUGAUGACAUCACUGGACCGCAUGGUCCGGUGAUCAAAGGUCCGCAGGUCUGGGAGCGGCCUAUCUCCUAUCAGCUUGUUGGUGGGGUAACGGCCUACCAAGGCUUCGACAGGUACCAGGCGUGAGAGCGCGAUCUGGCACAUCGGGACUGAGACACUGCCCGGACAUCUACGGAUGGCUGCAGCAACGAAUAUUCCGCAAUGGGCGCAAGCCUGACGGAGCGACGCCGCGUGUAGGAUGAAGCACUUCGGUGUGUAAACUACUGUCAGGGGUUAGGAAGAAAGUGACCAACCCCAAAGGAAGCCUCGGCUAACUCCGUGCCAGCAGCCGCGGUAAUACGGAGGAGGCAAGCGUUGUUCGGAAUUACUGGGCUUAAAGCGUGCGUAGGCGGGAUGGCAGGUGUCGUGUGAAAGCCCUCGGCUCAACCGAGGAACUGUUCGGCAAACCGUCAUUCUUGAGGCCAGC